AGCAGCCGCGGUAAUUCCAGCUCCAAUAGCGUAUAUUAAAGUUGUUGCAGUUAAAAAGCUCGUAGUUGAAUUUCGGGAUCAAUAUGUCGGUCGUGCCAUCGGUACGUACUGGUAUCAUUGGUUUCCCCCUUUCUGACGAACCAUGAUGUCAUUAAUUUGGUGUUAUGGGAAGUUAGGACUGUUACUUUGAAAAAAUUGAGUGUUUAAAGCAGGCUUUGGCUUGAAUACAUUAGCAUGGAAUAAUGAAAUAGGACGUUCGAACCUAUUUUGUUGGUUUCUAGGAUCAACGUAAUGAUUAAUAGGGAUAG
This 308-nucleotide ribosomal RNA is filed under the name uncultured Glomus. Its description in RNAcentral is "SSU rRNA". It matches the Rfam family "Eukaryotic small subunit ribosomal RNA", at positions 569 to 881 of the family's 1831-position model. Lineage: Eukaryota; Fungi; Glomeromycota; Glomeromycetes; Glomerales; Glomeraceae. The record is from RNAcentral.